Molecule: ribosomal RNA, 253 nt
Filed under: uncultured bacterium
Lineage: Bacteria
Description: partial 16S ribosomal RNA
Rfam family: Bacterial small subunit ribosomal RNA
Source: RNAcentral
UACGAAGGGGGCUAGCGUUGUUCGGAUUUACUGGGCGUAAAGCGCACGUAGGCGGAUUGUUAAGUCGGGGGUGAAAUCCCAGGGCUCAACCCUGGAACUGCCUUCGAUACUGGCAAUCUAGAGUCCGGAAGAGGUGAGUGGAACUCCUAGUGUAGAGGUGGAAUUCGUAGAUAUUAGGAAGAACACCUAUGGCGAAGGCAGCUCUCUGGGACGGUACUGACGCUGAGACGCGAAAGCGUGGGGAGCGAACAGG